UUUCUUUGUGUUUUUUUCUUUUCUUCAAAACAUUGGCAAAGUUAUUUCUUGACCCUCACUUGGUCACUCUAAAAGCAAAGCACACGCCGAACUCCUCCGCCAUCUCUUCAUAAUCAAAUUUGUGAGUGGUCUCAAUAUGGCUAUUUCCACGACGUUUUCUUCACAUGGAUUCCAUGGGAAAAUACUUGUGUCAUCUCAUAGGAAGAGUUACUCUAACUUUGGAGGCAAUAAUGUAUGGUUAAAGCAACCCGUGCACUGUAAAACUGUUUGUUUACUUGCCGACACAUCUAAAUUACGGUCAUCAUUCUCUGUUGGACUGUUCAACAAGGGACGAAAUCAGUGUGUUAUGUCAAUGAAUAACAGCACAAUCCAAUGCUCUGCAUUGGAAAUGGAAAAUAAGUCUUCAACUAUGGUGGGGAAUAAGUUUCAGCUUGAUGAUGUAAUUGAAUCUCAGCAGUUUGAUAGAGAUACUCUCAGUGCCAUAUUUGAAGUGGCACGGGAGAUGGAGAAAAUUGAGAAGAACUCGAAGGGAAGCGAGAUUCUUAAGGGUUAUCUUAUGUCCACUCUCUUCUAUGAACCUUCAACUAGGACUAGGCUUUCAUUUGAAUCUGCCAUGAAGCGUUUGGGUGGGGAAGUAUUGACAACGGAAAAUGCUCGUGAAUUUUCAUCUGCAGCAAAAGGGGAAACGCUUGAAGAUACAAUUAGAACUGUUGAAGGGUACUCCGACAUCAUUGUUAUGAGACAUUUUGAAAGUGGUGCUGCUAGAAGAGCCGCAACCACGGCAAGUAUUCCAAUCAUAAAUGCAGGAGAUGGUCCUGGACAACACCCGACUCAGGCCCUUCUAGAUGUGUAUACCAUCGAAAGAGAAAUAGGAAAACUCGAUGGUAUUAAAGUUGCUCUUGUUGGUGAUCUAGCUUAUGGGAGGACAGUUCGUUCACUCGCUUACUUGCUUGCGAAGUACCAAGAUGUGAAAAUUUACUUUGUAUCCCCUGAUGUAGUUAAAAUGAAGGAUGACAUAAAGGAUUAUUUGACAACAAUGGGGGUUCAGUGGGAAGAAAGUGCUGACCUGCUGGAGGUGGCUUCUAAAUGUGAUGUGGUUUAUCAAACUCGUAUUCAAAGAGAGAGAUUCGGAGAGAGGGUUGAUUUAUAUGAAGAAGCUCGAGGGAAGUAUAUCGUGGAUAUGAGUGUCUUAAAUGCUAUGCAGAAACAUGCAGUAGUGAUGCAUCCUUUGCCAAGGCUCGAUGAGAUAACUGUUGAUGUGGAUGGGGAUCCGAGGGCUUCCUAUUUCAGACAAGCUAAGAAUGGUCUCUACAUUCGGAUGGCUCUUUUGAAGCUUCUACUCCUCGGUUGGUGACAGAUGCAAACUUUUUAUAUCUGGAAUAUUGCGAAACCAUUGCUUGUUAUCCAUUUGGGUAUGGUCGUGUUAUGAGACGGCGUUGUUCAUACACUCCGGUGGCAAAGGUGGUGGCCGCGGCUAAAUUAUAGCAACAUAGUUCGACUCUAUCCUUGAGUUCUCAUUGUAAACCACGAACUCUAUGACUCUAUCCUUCGAGUUCUCAAUUGUAGUAUCUCUAUUUGUGACUUCUCAAUUUUAGAACUACGAACAGUAUGACUCUA
This is an RNA transcript of Lycium ferocissimum, 1617 nucleotides long. It is a transcript of the gene named aspartate carbamoyltransferase, chloroplastic-like, with no coding region annotated. Lineage: Eukaryota; Viridiplantae; Streptophyta; Magnoliopsida; Solanales; Solanaceae. The transcript is spliced from 7 exons. The record is from RefSeq and is a predicted model, not a curated record.